Panicum virgatum (switchgrass) is the source of this 486-nucleotide long non-coding RNA. RefSeq lists it as uncharacterized. The record is from RefSeq and is a predicted model, not a curated record. NCBI's taxonomy places the organism in Eukaryota, Viridiplantae, Streptophyta, Magnoliopsida, Poales, Poaceae. The transcript is spliced from 2 exons.
GGGAACAAGAACUUCGGGCCCAAGAACAACAACAACAAGUUCAAGCGCCAUCAGACCAAGGGCGGCAAGAUGUUGUGCUCUUUCUGUGACUCGCCCAAGCAUCUUCAGAAAGCCUGUCCUGGUUUCAAGGAAUGGCUGAAAGAACAAGGUAUUCCGUACGAUCCGAACUAUAAGAAAGGGGGAGCGAAGUCUAAGAGUGGCUGAUGGGACUCCAGUUGAAGUUGAAGGUGUUGGAAGCUUCCACUUAGAGUUGCCGGGCGGCUUCCAGCUUAAUUUAGAUGAUGUCCUUUAUGCUCCUAGUUUAAAGAGAAACUUAAUUUCUGUUUCAGCAUUAGAUGAUUCGGGUCAUAUUUGUGAGUUUGGAAACAAUCAGUGUGUGAUAAAGUUUAAUUCAAUAAAUGUGGGUCUUGCUGUCAGGCAAGGCAAACUUUAUAUGCUCUCUCUUGAUGAUGAUUCUGUAAUGAAUGUCAGUAAUGUUUCGAAUAA